Molecule: ribosomal RNA, 465 nt
Filed under: Vreelandella stevensii
Lineage: Bacteria; Pseudomonadati; Pseudomonadota; Gammaproteobacteria; Oceanospirillales; Halomonadaceae
Description: partial 16S ribosomal RNA
Rfam family: Bacterial small subunit ribosomal RNA
Source: RNAcentral
ACUACGGGGUGCAGCAGUGGGGAAUAUUGGACAAUGGGCGAAAGCCUGAUCCAGCCAUGCCGCGUGUGUGAAGAAGGCCUUCGGGUUGUAAAGCACUUUCAGUGGGGAAGAAAGCCUUGGGGCUAAUACCCUCGAGGAAGGACAUCACCCACAGAAGAAGCACCGGCUAACUCCGUGCCAGCAGCCGCGGUAAUACGGAGGGUGCGAGCGGUAAUCGGAAUUACUGGGCGUAAAGCGCGCGUAGGCGGUCUGAUAAGCCGGUUGUGAAAGCCCCGGGCUCAACCUGGGAACGGCAUCCGGAACUGUCAGGAUAGAGUGCAGGAGAGGAAGGUAGAAUUCCCGGUGUAGCGGUGAAAUGCGUAGAGAUCGGGAGGAAUACCAGUGGCGAAGGCGGCCUUCUGGACUGACACUGACGCUGAGGUGCGAAAGCGUGGGUAGCAAACAGGAUUAGAUACCCUAGUAGUC